RNAcentral lists this unclassified non-coding RNA (240 nucleotides) under soil metagenome. RNAcentral describes it as "partial contains 5.8S ribosomal RNA, internal transcribed spacer 2, and large subunit ribosomal RNA". The record is from RNAcentral.
AACCAUUCUCACCUGCGGCUAGACCUGCGGAGGGAUCAUUAUCGAGUGUAACUGACCCCCUAAAAAGGGUAGUACCUCCCGUCCUUUGCAGGCCCCCUUUUUAUGGGGGGCUUUUUUUAAGACUUUCUGCUUCGGCGGGGUUACUCCCGCCGGAACACCCUCAAAAAACUCUCAAAAAAACCGUUCAGUCCGAGAACUUUUUAAAAAUAUAAAAAAAAACUUUUAGCAAUGGAUCUCAGA